This 1089-nucleotide ribosomal RNA is filed under the name Triticum aestivum (bread wheat). RNAcentral describes it as "partial small subunit ribosomal RNA". The record is from RNAcentral. Lineage: Eukaryota; Viridiplantae; Streptophyta; Magnoliopsida; Poales; Poaceae.
AUGGAGCCUACCCCUCUCCUGACGCCGUACAAGAUGGGCCAGCUCGACCUUGCCCACCGGAUCGUCCUGGCCCCGCUCACCCGCCAGCGCUCCUACGGCAAUGUGCCGCAGCCGCACGCCGCCGUGUACUACUCCCAGCGCGCCACCGUCGGCGGGCUUCUCAUCACCGAGGCCACCGGCGUCUCCGACACGGCGCAGGGGUACCGCGAUACACCGGGCGUGUGGACGGCGGAGCAUGUCGAGGCAUGGAAGCCCAUCGUCGAUGCAGUGCAUGCCAAGGGCGCUCUCAUCUUCUGCCAGAUCUGGCACGUCGGCCGCGUGUCCACCUAUGAGUACCAGCCCGGUGGUGCCGCGCCGCUGUCGUGCACGGACAAGGGGGUGGGCCCGCAGAUGAGCUAUGACGGGAGGCUGGAGGAGUUCGCGCCGCCGAGGAGGCUCAAGGUGGAGGAGAUACCGGCCAUCGUCGACGACUUCAGGAAGGCAGCUAGAAACGCCAUCAACGCCGGUUUUGACGGUGUGGAGAUCCACGGGGCCAAUGGGUACCUCAUCGAGCAGUUCCUCAAGGACAGUGCGAAUGACCGCACCGACAAGUAUGGUGGCAGCAUCGAGAACCGGAGCCGCUUUGCUCUCGAGGUGGUGGAUGCCGUCGUGAAGGAGGUCGGUGGCCACCGUGUGGGCAUCCGCCUCUCCCCCUUCACCGACUACAUGGAUUGCCACGACUCCGACCCGCAUGCCCUCGCGCUCCACAUGUCCACCAAGCUCAAUGACUACAACAUCCUCUAUCUCCACAUGGUCGAGCCGAGGAUGGCCAUCGUCGAUGGACGGCGGGUGGUCCCGAAGCGCUUGCUGCCAUACAGGGAGGCGUUCAAAGGUACAUUUAUGGCCAAUGGUGGGUACGACCGCGAGGAAGGGGGCAAGGUGGUUGCCGAGGGGUACACUGAUUUGGUCUCCUUCGGGCGGUCGUUCUUGGCGAACCCGGACCUGCCAAAGAGGUUCGAGAUCGGUGCAGAGCUGAACAAGUACGAUAGAAUGACUUUCUACAUCUCCGACCCCGUCGUCGGCUACGCCGACUACCCCUUCCUCGAGUAA